This 78-nucleotide transfer RNA is filed under the name Sphaerodactylus townsendi. RNAcentral's name for it is "tRNA-Ala". The record is from RNAcentral. Lineage: Eukaryota; Metazoa; Chordata; Lepidosauria; Squamata; Sphaerodactylidae.
GGGGAGGGGGCCAGGCUCAGUGGUAGGACACCUGCUUGGCAUGAAGAAGGCCCCAGGUUCAAAACUCUGGCUUCCCCA